This 88-nucleotide transfer RNA is filed under the name Nitrospirota bacterium. RNAcentral describes it as "tRNA-Leu". It matches the Rfam family "tRNA". Rfam says of the family: Transfer RNA (tRNA) molecules are approximately 80 nucleotides in length. Their secondary structure includes four short double-helical elements and three loops (D, anti-codon, and T loops). The record is from RNAcentral. Lineage: Bacteria; Pseudomonadati; Nitrospirota.
GCCGGAGUGGCGGAAUGGUAGACGCCAGGGACUUAAAAUCCCUUGCUCCGACAGGGGCGUCCCGGUUCGAGUCCGGGCUCCGGCACCA